UACGUAGGGGGCAAGCGUUAUCCGGAUUUACUGGGUGUAAAGGGAGCGUAGACGGCUAAAUAAGUCAGAUGUGAAAGCCCAGGGCUCAACCCUGGGACUGCAUUUGAAACUAUGUAGCUAGAGUGCAGGAGAGGUAAGUGGAAUUCCUAGUGUAGCGGUGAAAUGCGUAGAUAUUAGGAGGAACACCAGUGGCGAAGGCGGCUUACUGGACUGUAACUGACGUUGAGGCUCGAAAGCGUGGGGAGCAAACAGG
This 253-nucleotide ribosomal RNA is filed under the name uncultured bacterium. Its description in RNAcentral is "partial 16S ribosomal RNA". It matches the Rfam family "Bacterial small subunit ribosomal RNA", at positions 524 to 776 of the family's 1533-position model. The record is from RNAcentral.